Molecule: transfer RNA, 84 nt
Filed under: Cecembia lonarensis LW9
Lineage: Bacteria; Pseudomonadati; Bacteroidota; Cytophagia; Cytophagales; Cyclobacteriaceae
Description: tRNA-Leu
Rfam family: tRNA
About the family: Transfer RNA (tRNA) molecules are approximately 80 nucleotides in length.
Source: RNAcentral
GCGCACGUGGUGAAAUUGGUAGACACGCCAUCUUGAGGGGGUGGUGCCCUACGGGCAUGGAAGUUCGAGUCUUCUCGUGCGCAC